This 73-nucleotide transfer RNA is filed under the name Coemansia erecta. RNAcentral describes it as "tRNA-Gln". It matches the Rfam family "tRNA". Rfam says of the family: Transfer RNA (tRNA) molecules are approximately 80 nucleotides in length. Their secondary structure includes four short double-helical elements and three loops (D, anti-codon, and T loops). RNAcentral also lists the same sequence under 1 other name. The record is from RNAcentral. Lineage: Eukaryota; Fungi; Kickxellomycota; Kickxellomycetes; Kickxellales; Kickxellaceae.
GGUCUUGUGGUGUAGCUGGUUAUCACUUUGGAUUUUGAUUCCAACAACCCGAGUUCGAAUCUCGGCAAGACCU